RNAcentral lists this small nucleolar RNA (101 nucleotides) under Chaetura pelagica (chimney swift). Its description in RNAcentral is "Small nucleolar RNA SNORD125". It matches the Rfam family "Small nucleolar RNA SNORD125". The record is from Rfam by way of RNAcentral. Lineage: Eukaryota; Metazoa; Chordata; Aves; Apodiformes; Apodidae.
GCUGGGAACAGUCUCACAUGAUGACCCUUCUCUCUCUGAUGGGCUGUGGUGGUGAUGAUCAUCCAAGCCUCUAAGAAGUUGGCUGAAGAGACUGCUCUGGG